Molecule: unclassified non-coding RNA, 376 nt
Filed under: soil metagenome
Description: partial contains 5.8S ribosomal RNA, internal transcribed spacer 2, and large subunit ribosomal RNA
Rfam family: 5.8S ribosomal RNA (bases 1-120)
Source: RNAcentral
GAUGAAGAACGUAGUGAAAUGCGAUAAGUAAUGUGAAUUGCAGAAUUCAGUGAAUCAUCGAAUCUUUGAACGCAUCUUGCGCUCCUUGGUAUUCUGAGGAGCAUGCCUGUUUGAGUGUCAUUAAAUUCUCAACUACACUGACUUUGAAUUGGUGUGGCUUGGAUUUGGGGGGAAAAUUGUUGUGGGCUUUUUGUAUAGUCUGCUCCCCUGAAAUUGAUUAGCGGUACCUUUGUGGAACUGUCUACAGGUGUGAUAAUUAUCUACAUCUUAGACAUCUGCUGGAAUGCUGCUUUCUAAACCUUACUUGUAUUGACAAUCUUGACCUCAAAUCAGGUAGGACUACCCGCUGAACUUAAGCAUAUCGAUAAGCGGAGGA